This 783-nucleotide ribosomal RNA is filed under the name Eremobiotus sp. n. 1 PG-2019. RNAcentral's name for it is "partial large subunit ribosomal RNA". It matches the Rfam family "Eukaryotic large subunit ribosomal RNA", at positions 34 to 664 of the family's 3401-position model. The record is from RNAcentral. Lineage: Eukaryota; Metazoa; Tardigrada; Eutardigrada; Parachela; Isohypsibiidae.
UUAAGCAUAUUACUAAGCGGAGGAAAAGAAACCAACGGGGAUUCCCAUAGUAACUGCGAGUGAAAUGGGAAGAGCCCAGCGCUGAAUCCGACUGCUGGCAACGGUGGUUGGAGCUGUAGCGUGAAGGUGGUCAUUAUCCGUGCGGCUUGCUGGCGUAAGUUCUCCUGAGUGAGGCUCCAUGCUAGGAAGGGUGCAAGCCCCGUGUCGCGGGCAGCUUGUGCGGAUAUAAGCUACCGUAGAGUCGCCUUGUUUGCGAGUACAAGGUGAAGUCGGUGGUAAACGCCAUCGAAGGCUAAAUAUGACCACGAGUCCGAUAGCGAACAAGUACAGUGAUGGAAAAUUGAAAAGAACUUUGAAGAGAGAGUGAAACAGUGCGUGAAACCGCUCAGAGGCAAGCAGAUGGGGCCUCGAAGGCAGAGCAGCGAAUUCAGUUGGUAGUCCGUGAGGUGUGCCGGUAUGUGAGAUUGCAAAACUCUGGCCGGCCACUGCAGCGGCUGCUGAUGCACUUUCGUUGCUUGUACGCCCCCGCCGUUGACGUUUGUUGCAUCCGCCUAGCCUGCAUCGCGGAGCCUUUGUCCUUCGGGACUCGGUGUCUCGCAGCGGGUGUGGCGCGUUUGCCCGUCAACCGGUCAUGUCUGCGUUGGGUUCAGUGCUCUAUCCGCGGCGCGGUGGAUGACGGUCGCAAGACCGGCUCUGCCGCACGUGGUGGAAUCGCGAAGGCUUUCAGCGUAGGCGCUCGGGGGUGAGUAGACGGCUGCCCAUCUAACCCGUCUUGAAACACGG